Molecule: ribosomal RNA, 212 nt
Filed under: Helotiales sp.
Lineage: Eukaryota; Fungi; Ascomycota; Leotiomycetes; Helotiales
Description: partial large subunit ribosomal RNA
Source: RNAcentral
AAGCGCUUGUGACCAGACUUGUGCCCGGCGGAUCAACCAGCGUUCUCGCUGGUGCACUCCUCCGGGCUCAGGCCAGCAUCGGUUCUGGUGGCUGGAUAAAGGCCUAGGGAAUGUGGCUCUCUUCGGGGAGUGUUAUAGCCCAGGUGCAAUACAGCCUACUAGGACCGAGGACCGCGCUCCGGCUAGGAUGCUGGCGUAAUAGGUGCAAGCGA